RNAcentral lists this ribosomal RNA (468 nucleotides) under uncultured bacterium. RNAcentral describes it as "partial 16S ribosomal RNA". It matches the Rfam family "Bacterial small subunit ribosomal RNA", at positions 28 to 507 of the family's 1533-position model. The record is from RNAcentral.
GACGAACGCUGGCGGCGUGCUUAACACAUGCAAGUCGAACGGAAAGGCCCUGCUUUUGUGGGGUGCUCGAGUGGCGAACGGGUGAGUAACACGUGAGUAACCUGCCCUUGACUUUGGGAUAACUUCAGGAAACUGGGGCUAAUACCGGAUAGGAGCUCCUGCUGCAUGGUGGGGGUUGGAAAGUUUCGGCGGUUGGGGAUGGACUCGCGGCUUAUCAGCUUGUUGGUGGGGUAGUGGCUUACCAAGGCUUUGACGGGUAGCCGGCCUGAGAGGGUGAACGGCCACAUUGAGACUGAGAUACGGCCCAGACUCCUACGGGAGGCAGCAGUGGGGAAUAUUGCACAAUGGGCGGAAGCAUGAUGCAGCAACGCCGCGUGCGGGAUGACGGCCUUCGGGUGGUAAACCACUUUCGCCUGUGACGAAGCGUGAGUGACGGUAAUGGGUAAAGAAGCACCGGCUAACUACGUG